AGAGUUUGAUCCUGGCUCAGGAUGAAUGCUGGCGGCGUGCCUAACACAUGCAAGUCGAGCGGCAGCGCGAGUAGUUUACUACUUGGCGGCGAGCGGCGGACGGCUGAGUAACGCGUAGGAAUGUACCCCAAAGUGAGGAAUAACUGCCCGAAAGGGUGGCUAAUGCCGCAUAUGGUCUUCGGAUUAAAGCCCUUGGGCGCUUUGGGAACAGCCUGCGUACGAUUAGAUAGUUGGUGAGGUAAAGGCUCACCAAGCCAACGAUCGUUAACUGGUUUGAGAGGAUGAUCAGUCAGACUGGAACUGAGACACGGUCCAGACUCCUACGGGAGGCAGCAGUGGGGAAUCUUCCACAAUGGGCGAAAGCCUGAUGGAGCAACGCCGCGUGAAGGAUGAAGGCCUUCGGGUUGUAAACUUCUUUUAUGAGUGAAGAAUAUGACGGUAACUCAUGAAUAAGCACCGGCUAACUACGUGCCAGCAGCCGCGGUCAUACGUAGGGUGCAAGCAUUAUCCGGAGUGACUGGGCGUAAAGAGUUGCGUAGGUGGUGUAUCAAGCGAAUAGUGAAAGCUGGUGGCUUAACCAUUCAGUCUAUUAUUCAAACUGAUAUACUCGAGAGUAGCAGAGGUAACUGGAAUUUCUUGUGUAGGAGUGAAAUCCGUAGAUAUAAGAAGGAACACCAAUGGCGUAGGCAGGUUACUGGGCUAUUUCUGACACUAAGGCACGAAAGCGUGGGGAGCGAACCGGAUUAGAUACCCGGGUAGUCCACGCCGUAAACGAUGGAUACUAGCUGUUGGAGGUAUCGACCCCUUCAGUAGCGAAGCUAACGCGUA
Molecule: ribosomal RNA, 828 nt
Filed under: uncultured bacterium
Lineage: Bacteria
Description: bacterial SSU rRNA
Rfam family: Bacterial small subunit ribosomal RNA
Source: RNAcentral